RNAcentral lists this ribosomal RNA (446 nucleotides) under uncultured bacterium. Its description in RNAcentral is "partial 16S ribosomal RNA". It matches the Rfam family "Bacterial small subunit ribosomal RNA", at positions 329 to 792 of the family's 1533-position model. The record is from RNAcentral.
GUCCAGACUCCUACGGGAGGCAGCAGUGGGGAAUAUUGCACAAUGGGGGAAACCCUGAUGCAGCGACGCCGCGUGAGCGAUGAAGUCUUUCGGUAUGUAAAGCUCUCUCAGCAGGGAAGAAAAUGACGGUACCUGGCUAAGAAGCCCCGGCUAACUACAUGCCAGCAGCCGCGGUAAUACGUAGGGGGCAAGCGUUAUCCGGAUUUACUGGGUGUAAAGGGAGCGCAGGCGGCCUUGCAAGUCUGAUGUGAAAGGGCGGGGCCCAACCCCGGGACUGCAUUGGAAACUGCGAGGCUGGAGUGUAGGAGAGGCAGGCGGAAUUCCUAGUGUAGCGGUGAAAUGCGUAGAUAUUAGGAGGAACACCAGUGGCGAAGGCGGCCUGCUGGACGAUGACUGACGCUGAGGCUCGAAAGCGUGGGGAGCAAACAGGAUUAGAUACCCCGGUA